This 448-nucleotide ribosomal RNA is filed under the name uncultured bacterium. RNAcentral's name for it is "bacterial SSU rRNA". It matches the Rfam family "Bacterial small subunit ribosomal RNA", at positions 355 to 825 of the family's 1533-position model. The record is from RNAcentral.
UGGGGAAUAUUGGACAAUGGGCGCAAGCCUGAUCCAGCCAUGCCGCGUGAGUGACGAAGGUCUUCGGAUUGUAAAGCUCUUUUUGGCGGGGACGAUAAUGACGGUACCCGCAGAAUAAGCCCCGGCUAACUUCGUGCCAGCAGCCGCGGUAAUACGAAGGGGGCUAGCGUUGUUCGGAAUCACUGGGCGUAAAGCGCACGUAGGCGGAUUUGUUAGUCAGGGGUGAAAUCCCGGGGCUCAACCUCGGAACUGCCUCUGAUACUGCAAAUCUCGAGUCCGAUAGAGGUGAGUGGAAUUCCUAGUGUAGAGGUGAAAUUCGUAGAUAUUAGGAAGAACACCAGUGGCGAAGGCGGCUCACUGGAUCGGUACUGACGCUGAGGUGCGAAAGCGUGGGGAGCAAACGGGAUUAGAUACCCCAGUAGUCCCUGAGCGGGCUGGCAAGGCGCAU